RNAcentral lists this ribosomal RNA (425 nucleotides) under uncultured bacterium. RNAcentral's name for it is "partial 16S ribosomal RNA". It matches the Rfam family "Bacterial small subunit ribosomal RNA", at positions 354 to 796 of the family's 1533-position model. The record is from RNAcentral.
GUAGGGAAUCUUGCGCAAUGGGCGAAAGCCUGACGCAGCCAUGCCGCGUGAAUGAUGAAGGUCUUAGGAUUGUAAAAUUCUUUCACCGGGGACGAUAAUGACGGUACCCGGAGAAGAAGCUCCGGCUAACUUCGUGCCAGCAGCCGCGGUAAUACGAAGGGGGCUAGCGUUGCUCGGAAUUACUGGGCGUAAAGGGCGCGUAGGCGGACAGCUUAGUCAGAGGUGAAAGCCCAGGGCUCAACCUUGGAAUUGCCUUUGAUACUGGCUGUCUUGAGUUUGGGAGAGGUGAGUGGAACUCCGAGUGUAGAGGUGAAAUUCGUAGAUAUUCGGAAGAACACCAGUGGCGAAGGCGACUCACUGGCCCAAUACUGACGCUGAGGCGCGAAAGCGUGGGGAGCAAACAGGAUUAGAUACCCUGGUAGUCC